GACGAACGCUGGCGGCGUGCCUAAUACAUGCAAGUCGAACGCUGAAGGAGGAGCUUGCUUCUCUGGAUGAAUUGCGAACGGGUGAGUAACGCGUAGGUAACCUGCCUGGUAGCGGGGGAUAACUAUUGGAAACGAUAGCUAAUACCGCAUAAUAGUAGAUGUUGCAUGACAUUUGCUUAAAAGGUGCAAUUGCAUCACUACCAGAUGGACCUGCGUUGUAUUAGCUAGUUGGUGGGGUAACGGCUCACCAAGGCGACGAUACAUAGCCGACCUGAGAGGGUGAUCGGCCACACUGGGACUGAGACACGGCCCAGACUCCUACGGGAGGCAGCAGUAGGGAAUCUUCGGCAAUGGACGGAAGUCUGACCGAGCAACGCCGCGUGAGUGAAGAAGGUUUUCGGAUCGUAAAGCUCUGUUGUAAGAGAAGAACGAGUGUGAGAGUGGAAAGUUCACACUGUGACGGUAUCUUACCAGAAAGGGACGGCUAACUACGUG
This 495-nucleotide ribosomal RNA is filed under the name uncultured bacterium. Its description in RNAcentral is "partial 16S ribosomal RNA". It matches the Rfam family "Bacterial small subunit ribosomal RNA", at positions 28 to 507 of the family's 1533-position model. The record is from RNAcentral.